CCAGCCAUGCCGCGUGAUGAUGACGGCCCUAUGGAUGGUAAGCUGUUUUUACGCGAAAAAAAAUGCUCCUUCCUGGAGGAAUUUCACCGGCUCGCUUCAAGCCAGAUCCGCUGACUCCGCGACAGCGGCCACGGUUGUACGGAAGAUCCGGGCGUUAUCCGGAAUCAUUGGGAUUUAUGGGUCCGGAGGGAGACCCCUAAGCUCAUGUCUGGAACUGCUUUUUAAACUGGGGAACUGGCGUUGGGACUGCGGGACUGGAAUUGCUAGGGAGUAACUGAAAUAUGUAGUGUAGCGGUGAAAUGCUUAGAGAUUACAUGGAAUACCAAUUGCGAAGGCAGGUUACUACUAGUGGAUUGACGCUGAUGGACGAAAGCGUGGGUAGCGAACAGGAUUAGAUACCCUGGUAGUCCACGCCGUAAACGAUGGAUACUAGCUGUUGGGGGCAACUUCAGUGGCUAAUCGAAAGUGAUAAGUAUCCCACCUGGGGAGUACGUUCGCAAGAAUGAAACUCAAAGGAAUUGACGGGGGCCCGCACAAGCGGUGGAGCAUGUGGUUUAAUUCGAUGAUACGCGAGGAACCUUACCAAGGCUUAAAUGUAGUUUGACCGUUUUGGAAACAGAACUUUCGCA
This 629-nucleotide ribosomal RNA is filed under the name Flavobacteriaceae bacterium Ri3Ps_6495. RNAcentral describes it as "bacterial SSU rRNA". It matches the Rfam family "Bacterial small subunit ribosomal RNA", at positions 388 to 1019 of the family's 1533-position model. The record is from RNAcentral. Lineage: Bacteria; Pseudomonadati; Bacteroidota; Flavobacteriia; Flavobacteriales; Flavobacteriaceae.